UGUGUAUCAGUCUGAGCUCCGAUGUGUCAUUGUGACAGUUAGAAACACUGUAUUUAAAGAACCAACAGUCACUUAUGUUAAUGUCCUGAAAAUGAAGAUCUCAACUCAGCUGUCACUAAAGGACAACCACAACAUAAUUGAAAAUGUGAUAAAAAAAAAACUGAUGAGCCAAGGGUUUCCACCAGGCAUAACUGUACGCCUGCUGAGCAAUGGGUCAGCGGAAGCUGCACCCUAGUGGCUACUCAUGAUCAUUACAUGAAGAAGCACAGGGGCCCAUUCCAUCUGGAGAUGUCAUAACCUAUUUUUUGACAAUAUACUCUAACUUCAACAGGCUUCAUACAUUCAUUCAUUCAUCUUCUAUACUCUAUAUUCCAUAGUGGGUCACAGGGAUCUGGUCUCUAAUAGUCUACGGGUGAGAGGCAGGGUUCACCCUGGACAGGUUGCCAGUCCAUCGCAGGU
Long non-coding RNA from Girardinichthys multiradiatus, 459 nucleotides. RefSeq lists it as uncharacterized. NCBI's taxonomy places the organism in Eukaryota, Metazoa, Chordata, Actinopteri, Cyprinodontiformes, Goodeidae. The transcript is spliced from 3 exons. The record is from RefSeq and is a predicted model, not a curated record.